CUGCUGGCUUCUUACUGUCUUUGAGGCUCGGGACCAGCACUCCUGCUGUUGGACAGAAAGACAUCAACUCAGUGACUUGAGAUAUGACUGCACCGUGCUGUUGCUGGUGACCACAGUUAAUUCUACAAGACAUGCUGUGACAACAGGAGAGAUGAGUCCUCCGUCACAGAUGGUGUGGUCAGUGAAGAUGGUCGCCUGCAGGUUCAAGCUCAUUGCAUCUCCAACCCACAUCCACUGCCACUGUACUUAAGGGAAGUUAAAGACUUUCUUCUGCACCUACAUUUGGAUCACCUCGAUCCAUGACAGUCAUUCAGGCAGUAAUGCCUGGACUGGAAACAAGCCAUCCUUAAAAUAAUACAACAUUCCAGCUCAUGUGUUGGAAUGGAAAACAAAUGUGUUGUUUAAAUUAGAGACUGCACUUGUGACAGAACAAUAAAUAUUUUAUUUUGAUUAUAUAAGUAAUGUAAGUACAAAACAAACUGUGGUAGACCUAAACUUAUUUUCAGAAUAAUUACAUCUGAGACUUUGUUUCAUUGUAAGAUUAUAACAGUGAUGGCAAUAUAAUUGUUUGUGU
This is a long non-coding RNA of Oreochromis aureus, 574 nucleotides long. NCBI's taxonomy places the organism in Eukaryota, Metazoa, Chordata, Actinopteri, Cichliformes, Cichlidae. The record is from Ensembl.